AAUCCAUGACCACCUAGGAAUUCCAGGUUGCCACAUUAUGACAAUUUCACUGGGGCUUCUGGGAUAGAACUCAGCUCCUCCCGCUCCAAAAGCUCAAUCCCCUACAUCUGCAGUUAGAAGAGAACCUCUGUUAGCAGUCUAGGUCUAUGACACACAGUUGAGCAGUUCCAAUUCUAUCCAGCAGAGAGCAACACACACACUAGCCAGGUCCUCUCCGCCUAAGUGGCCAAAGUCCAUCCCACAACAACGCAGGACUGGUCUCUACCGUGUAUUUUCCCAUUGCUUUGUCCAGUCUGUACCAUUUUCAAAUGACUCCCUCACCCAUUGCAGUGGGAGAUGUACUUCAACUGUCCAACAGCAGUAAAGCUACAACACUGAGGAGCAGAGAAAGCAGAUGUGUUUUGUACUGAAGAAAAUAAUACUGUUCAUCAGUCAAUUUCAAACAGCUCUACAACGGAGAUGCAUAAAUGGAGCUUCAGAGAAAUAAAAAGAUUUCCCGGAGAUUAUGUGCUCACAGCAAGUCAGUAACAGAGCCAGGAACAGACCCCAGGAGUCCUACCUCCCUAACCACAGCUCUAAGCACUGAACUUCACACUCCCUCCCCAUGUUAGGAGAUGCUCCCCAGCCAUCCAGUUGUCCCUGGCAAAAUAAUGCACCAGCUCUUCCCAGGCCAACAUCAGAAAACUGGGAAAGCAAAUCUAUUUUUCAAAUAAAUUGCUUGCAAGUGAGAGGAACAGGAAACAACCACCCCUUGAAGACAUUCAAUAUUCCAAAGGUGAAAUUCACCCUUCUGCUGAGGGACAGGAUAGGGGUGGAUUUCCUCCAGUAUCUGUGCAACCGUUUGAUAGAAACUACAACUGGACUUAAGUUGGUUUAAUGCUGGAUUCUCUGUAA
Mauremys reevesii (Reeves's turtle) is the source of this 894-nucleotide long non-coding RNA. RefSeq lists it as uncharacterized. The record is from RefSeq and is a predicted model, not a curated record. The transcript is spliced from 3 exons. NCBI's taxonomy places the organism in Eukaryota, Metazoa, Chordata, Testudines, Geoemydidae.